Molecule: long non-coding RNA, 1071 nt
Organism: Myxocyprinus asiaticus (Chinese sucker)
Lineage: Eukaryota; Metazoa; Chordata; Actinopteri; Cypriniformes; Catostomidae
Exons: 4
Source: RefSeq, a predicted model, not a curated record
UUAGCUGACAGCUCGUGGACUGUGGUGAGGCAGCGCGAGUGGAUUCAGCAUGUUUCUAUUUUUUAGCCUUCCCAUUUACUCUGGAAGUAGUCGCGUAAAUGAACGGUGCAUGACAUAAAGGAGGAUAUUUUACCCUGAAGUAAAUAAAGUGAACUGUUUAGUGAUGGCAGUGCGACCGCCUCCCUGUGUGAUUGACUGCGGGACGGGUCCAAGAACAUGCAGGUUAAGUGAAUUGGAGACUCUAAAUUGCCCUGCAGGUGUGAGUGAGAGUACCCCAGCCACUGGGGGUUGUGUCAGGAAGGACAUCCUGCAUAAAACCUGUGCCAAGUCAAAUAUGCUGAUCAAGGAUGGUCCGCUGUGGAGCUGCCGAUAGAGGAAGAAUCCGGCAUAUAAUACAGGUACACCAAGAUUGGCUAUGCAGGAAACACAGAGCCGCAGUUCAUCAUGCUGUCCUGUGAGCUGUCUGACACUUUAAAUUGUUAAUAGCACAGCAGGACCGAUCAGACCAGACUAAUACUGCUCUCUGUCCAACACUCAGUUCCAGGAUAUGAUAUUUGGAUCAGGAUUUUAAUUAAACUUUGCCUUAGGGAAACACUAUUUAAAGCCAUUAUAAAACUCAGUUCACCAAUGCUAUAACCUCAGUUUUGGCUCAGAGCCAAGUUUAUAAUAACACUUACUAGCUUUUGUUCAAGGAUACUGUAAUACAGUGGUUUCUCAACUAGUAGAUCACCGUCUGUUCUGUUCUGGGUCAUGGCAACACACUCUCAUAACAAUAUUUAUUUAUAGCGACUUUUUGCCUGCACCACAUCAAUAAAGAUCAAAUAGAUCCCAUUAUAAUUGAUAAAGCUGUCUACACUGGAAGCAUCCAUUGUGGCACGUUGUAGCACAUCAUGUAAUGUAGCGUCAACAGUAAACAGAUGCCCUGUUCUAUUACUGACGUGCUGUAGAGUAAUCCAGCCACUUUAUUAUCCUGUCUGUCUAAAAUAAAAUGAUUUUACUUACCAAAUAUCAUACGUUUGAAUCAUUUUGCCAUUAUUUUGUUUGUUACAUACUUAAAUAAACUUCUGUCUC